CACGUAGGGACCAAGCGUUGUCCGGAUUCAUUGGGUGUAAAGAGCUCGUAGGCGGUUCGAUAAGUCGGGUGUGAAACCUCCAGGCUCAACCUGGAGACGCCACCCGAUACUGUCGUGACUAGAGUCCAGUAGGGGAGCGUGGAAUUCCUGGUGUAGCGGUGAAAUGCGCAGAUAUCAGGAGGAACACCGGUGGCGAAGGCGGAUCUCUGGGCCUUACCUGACGCUGAGGCGCGAAAGCUAGGGGAGCAAACAGG
Molecule: ribosomal RNA, 254 nt
Filed under: uncultured bacterium
Lineage: Bacteria
Description: partial 16S ribosomal RNA
Rfam family: Bacterial small subunit ribosomal RNA
Source: RNAcentral